UGUCCAGGGGCGGGAAUCGAACCCACACCCUUCUGCUUACCGGGCAGGUGCCUUGCCCACUCCCUGGAC
Molecule: transfer RNA, 69 nt
Filed under: Cordylochernes scorpioides
Lineage: Eukaryota; Metazoa; Arthropoda; Arachnida; Pseudoscorpiones; Chernetidae
Description: tRNA-Ser
Source: RNAcentral